CAAUAGCGUAUAUUAAAGUUGUUGCAGUUAAAAAGCUCGUAGUUGGAUUUCUGGUGGGAGCGAUCGGUCUGGCGCUUAGCGCGAGUACUUGCAUCGUCUCCGGCCAUCCUUGGGGAGAGUCUGUCUGGCAUUAAGUUGUCGGGCAGAGGAUCCUCAUCGUUUACUGUGAAAAAAUUAGAGUGUUCAAAGCAGGCUUAUGCCGUUGAAUAUAUUAGCAUGGAAUAAUAAGAUAGGACUUUGGUACUAUUUUGUUGGUUUGCGCACCAAAGUAAUGAUUAAUAGGGACAGUUGGGGGUAUUCGUAUUCCGUUGUCAGAGGUGAAAUUCUUGGAUUUACGGAAGACGAACUACCGCGAAAGCAUUUACCAAGGAUGUUUUCAUUAA
This 383-nucleotide ribosomal RNA is filed under the name uncultured eukaryote. Its description in RNAcentral is "partial 18S ribosomal RNA". It matches the Rfam family "Eukaryotic small subunit ribosomal RNA", at positions 592 to 976 of the family's 1831-position model. The record is from RNAcentral.